RNAcentral lists this long non-coding RNA (7130 nucleotides) under Theobroma cacao (cacao). RNAcentral's name for it is "long non-coding RNA (TCAC_LNC000053)". The record is from RNAcentral. Lineage: Eukaryota; Viridiplantae; Streptophyta; Magnoliopsida; Malvales; Malvaceae.
ACUCAGACCACAUAAAGUGACUUGUUUUAUUUUAUGGCUGCAUUGAUAUAAAUGUGUGUUAACCCAAAGAAAGCAUUUAUAGUUAUUCCAUCUCUGUACAGGUGAAUGAAGUUCUAAUUCAAGGAAUCUUUGAUAAUUCAACAAAUUUCCUUGAGAUUCAAAAAUCAAAGCUUUCACUCUCUAUUCUGAGUUUAUUUGAAACUACUGAAUUAUAAUGAGGUCAGAGCUACUUAACACAGGUUUUCAUACAACAAAAGAAGCAUUAAACAUCAAUAUAGUGACAAGAGUUGCAACUGAAAAGACAAAUUACCAGCCUGUUGAGACUAUCUGCCACCAUCAAUCCUCAGCUGGGAGAAAACUCCACUUGCUGUUGUGUCAGAACCAUCAUCCCUCACCAUAGGCACAUCAUCUUUCUCAAUUGGCAAGUUAUUUGAAGGCAAACGCUGAAAUGGACGUGAGGACAUGUUCAGAGAAGCAUCUAUUGUGCUGUCCUCGUGUGGCUCUCUCCGCACUGCAGUUUGCUCUAGUUGCAAUGUGUAUUCCAAGUCCCAGCAGAUAUCAAGCAUUGUAGGCCUGUCGACUCCAUUUGGCUUCAGACACUUCUCAACCAUUUCACUGAACUUUCUCAAUGAAUUAGGAUUAAUCUGGCCAGCCACUGAGGGAUCGAUAAUCUUUUCAAGUUCCCCUUUCUUUAACCAAAACAGUCCCCAUUCAGCUAAAUUUAUCUCCUCCUUCCUAUUUGAGCUAAUUAUAGCUGGUCUAGCACAAAGCACUUCAAGGAGUACCACGCCAAAAGAAUAAACAUCAGAUUUUUCUGUAAACUGAAGGCAUCUAAAAUACUCAGGAUCAAGAUAACCGAAGCUUCCUUUUAUUCCUGUGCUGAACUCAUCUGGACCAGGGAGACCUGAUUUGGAAAGGCCAAAAUCUGCAACUUUUGCCACAUAUUGUUCAUCAAGCAAGAUGUUUGUGGACUUAACAUCACGGUGAAUGAUUCCUCCUUGUGAACCGGUGUGGAGGUAAUGAAGACCCUUUGCUGCACCCAUACAAAUUUCAAGUCUUUGCUUCCAAGUCAAUAAAGAUAAUGCAGAUGAUCUCUCUGGAUUCCCACUCAAGUUGUAAAGAUGAUCUCUUAGAGUCCCCUUCUCCAUGAACUCAUAAACCAGUACCAUCUCAGACCCUUCAUCACAAUAGCCAAUCAGAGAAACAAGAUGGCGAUGUCGAAUCUUGGAUAGAACCAUGACCUCAGUUUGGAAUUCUGGAAGGCCCUGGCCAUGUUUUGACUCGCUUCUUUUGACUGCCACUUUGAGACCAUUCCGAAGAGUUCCUUUAUAAACUUUACCGAAGCCUCCCUCUCCAACCAGCAAUUUAGCCUCAAAGUUACUGGUUGCCUCUAUUAUUUCAGCAAAAGGCAUCUUUAGUUUGAGGUUUAAGUUCGGAACAGGAGGGGGAUUGACAGAUUUGGUGCUUAUUCCAACGUAAAGGCUCGCUCCUCCAAAAGGAAGGGUACCAUAUGAAGCCAUGGUUUCAAAAGGCUUUCUUUUUAUGCGUUUCUUACACAACAAGAAUACCACUAUCAAACUACAGAUAACAAAAACCCCAACAACUGAACCAGUUAUGAUAAACAGUACAGGCUUCUUUUUUGGCUCACUUCCCCCUAGUUCCAAGCCUGGUUCUGUGAUGAACUCCAUUAUUUCGAGCCCGUUCAGGUAGGCAAUUUUUUCUAAGGAUCCGUCCAAAGUGACAACACUGAUACUAAUAAAGUCAGAAUCACCUGAGUCAACCACAAAAUCAUAGUAGAAUGGAACUGCUGUCUGAACAGUAUACUCGUAAGGAUUGAUAUUUUGACUGAACCUACCGUAUAUAAAGAGAUUGAAAUUGAAAACGUUAGGUGAUGGACUAAUAAUGUCACAGAAAUGGACCCGAACAAGAUGCCGAGCAUUCUUGCUGACGUUGAAAUGCCAAGUAAUGUUGGCAGAAUUUGAUGUCUGGUUAUUAGUUAGGUCCACUUCUUUGCAAGUUUUGUAGACAAGAUCGGGGACAAAGUUUUGGAAGGCUCCUAUAUUAUCAUCAUAGUUUAGUCUACCAGAAAAAUAGCUACAAUUUUUUGCCAAAUUUCCAACAAAUAUAUAGUCAUCAUCAGCAACCCAUUCUGAUGCUAUUGCGGUUGGGUCGUUAAGGGGUCGACCCCCAACAUUAACUCUCUGAACUGUUCUAAGCACCUGAGAGGGCAAACCUAGGUAAUUACCCGGACUUCCUGCCGUAGUCACAAGAGUUCGGUCAUCCACAAGAUCUGGAAUAAGAAAAACUUCUAUAGCAUUCACAAAAGCAAAAGAUGUUUGUUGUGCCGGGAUGAAGUGAAUUCUAAAGCUGGUUGAAUUGAUAGGCACCCAGAAAUCCUUAAUCACAGGGAAAGAACUAUUUCUGACACUGAAAUUCGAUACUAGAGACUUACGGGAAGCUGAAACAUUGAAUAAAGCAUCCACCAGAUUAACCUGGCCUGACAUGAAAGGAAAGAAAUGAAGGCGUACCACGUGUAGGCCUGUCUUAGUGAUGUUGAGAUUAUAAGAAAAUGGGCUUGUAUGAAACCUUGCUGUUUGGUAGAGAGAUAAGCCGACUGACUGGCUGGUAUCUUCGACAGGUUUGCCUUUUUCAACGCGGAAGGAGUUGGGAUUCUUGUCACCAACGAAGUUCCUGCUGCCUAGUUUCACAGAAGAAGACGACCCGCAGUUUAUGAAGUAUUUAUCUGGAAAAACGUAAGGUUCUGAGAGAAUCAGAUCAGGAUAGAAUUGGAGAAGAAACGAAGGCAAGAGAACGUUAAGGAAGAGCAGUUUUUCCAUUGGAACGGCCUUCCUCUUUUUCCUGUUUUUUUCCCUUGUCUAGUGGAAGUAAUUAAGUAUAUAUCUCAGCACUAAGGAGUAAGGACCAGUUUUAAUGAAUGAUAAUAAUGAGCAAGGAAGGUGCAGAUGGAAAGGGAAGACUUUGGUUGACCUGAUAAUCAAGUGUGGAUGUAUUCUGCUUGAGAAAAAUAAUUGAGCUCCUCUGAUGUUGCCAAGCAGAAUAGUUUCUAAAAGGCAAUAUCUAUUUCUUGGCAUGUCAAUUCUGAUCACGGCAUUUACUCCUAUUUGUUUCCCCUUUUGUCCCAGAACCAACGUUUCUGACUUUUCUUAGUUCAGCGACAGUUACUUGGUUAACCAUGAACUUCUUUGAUAAUCAUGUGUUAGAAAUUAUGUGCAAACAAGUAAAAAUGAGUCAGUCAAGUCAAAGAUGCAUCUGUCUUAAAAGUUCAAGCAGGGGACUCUAUGCUAGACUCUGGGCUGAUGCAGAAGAGCCCAAAAGCAGCAGCCCAGAACUUAUUAUCCUUCUAGAAAGUAGACAAACCCAAAAAAAUACAAAGGCAAGUUGUGCGGUUUGAACAACGCCGGAGAGCUCCAAAUCCGGUCCUCAAGCCUCGCCGUCGCCUCCGCCAUCAGGUGGUGGGUGGAGAAAAUUUAGAGACAGUAGGAGAGAGGCAGGAAUGGGAAGAGAGAGGAAACAAGAAGGAGGAAGAGAAGAAGAAAUAUUUAUAAGGCUUUGGUUGUAAUUUUUUAAAAGAGUUAGGGCAUUUUAAUCUUAAAAAUUUUAUAUGCUAUUCUAUCAGCGAUUCCCCAUCCUUAGGAAUAAAAAACGGAAGCAAUAAGAGGAAAAAUGGCUGUAGAUAGGAAGCUGCAGACGGAAAGGAAAGAAUCUGGUUGAUCCGAUAUUCAAAAUGAACGGAAGUAAGCUAUAAGUCUUCAAAGAAGGUGAAAUGGUUAUGGAAACUUUGAAAUCAUUUUAAAUUUAUUUUUGUCGAAUACACAACUUAUUUUGAUAAAAACACCAUAAUUUUGAAUUAUUUGAAUUUUAGUGAAUUUUCUUACAAAUAAAUAUUUUUGACAAAUUCAAAGUAGCUAAUGGUUAUGAAAUUUUGAAAUUUCAAAAUUUUUGAAAAUUUAUUUUUAGUUAUUUUAAAAAAAUAUUUUUGACGAAUAUACAAUCUAUUUUGAUAGAAACUUCAUAAAUAUUUAAAUUUUAAUGAAGUCUUGUAUGAUAAAAUAUUUUUCAUAAAUUAUCUUUGAAUUGAUACAUUUAGAAAAUUUUGUUAAAAAUCUUCAAAAACUAAAUUUUAAUUUAGUAGUUGGAGUAUUUUCAUCAAAUCUCAUAUUUGUUACAAAAUUUGUAUCUCACUCUAUAAUGUUAUAAUUUUUGAAUAUUUUUAUGUUUUGUAAACUAUCAAAAAAAUCAUUUUAAUUUUAGAAAAUAUAUCAAAAUUAAUUUCGAUUAAUGAAAGAGGUUGCUAUAUCCUAUAUGUCUUAGAAUCAUUAGCUGGGAUUCGUAGUUUGUUUUGAUAAUUUGAUAGUGUUGGUUUUUAAUUUUGAAUAUUUCGGAUUAAUAAGCUUGAAGAGAAUUUUAAUGCUUUAGUCUUUGAUUUUUUAUUUUAACAAAUCAAAUAAGUGAUUUGAUAUCCAUCGCUGUUUUCACUUUUGAAAAAUUAACCUUAACGUGAAAUUGAAUAUAGUGGCUUUUGUGAUAUUUUUCUGUACAACCACCGACUGUCUUUCAUAUGCUUUUGACCCAUGUCACUUGAGUUAAUUAUGAUUUUGGUUUCAAUUUUGACUUAUGUCAUAGUGGUUAAGUAUGACCCUAGCAUAUUACAAGAAAUUACUAAAAUUGAUAAUAUUUGCAAAAUUAUGUAAAUUAUGAAGUGGAAUUAUAUUUACUUUUGUUAUUUGAAAAUAUAAUUUUGGAGAAAAUAUGUUUAUGAAUGAUAUUAACCAAAUUUUGUUUUGAUAUUUUUAUGAUUAUUGAUAAUUUUGGCCUAAAUGUUGUGAAGCAUGUUGUUGGUUACUUGCUGAGUGAUUGUACUCAUUACUUUUAUUUACAGAUUUCAGUAUUUUUCCAUCAUUGGAGAACUAGAUUUGUUUGGCAAGAUUUUGAUUAAUAAGAUUAACAUAUGCCUAUUUAUUUUGUAUAAGCUUCGAUGUGAGUAUUCGGUUUUAGUUUGUAAAGAAAUGUUAACUAAACGGAAUGCUAACAAAAUGAAAAUUUUGUAUUAUAUUGGAGACUUAAAAUUUUGUAAAUUGUAAAGAUACUUUUAGAAAUAUUAUAAAAGGAAUUCAAACCCUAUUCUUUCAAGUAAGAGAAUUAUAUACCAACUAAUAAGUUAAAAACUCAGGUGUUACAUUUGGUUUAGUAUGAUAUCUAUUGUCUUGCUUGCUUAUGGGAUUUGUCUUAUGAAUAUGUGACGUUGUUAUACUCUAAAAUUUUAGGUUUGAAGUGUGACAAUUUAGGUAUUAGAACUUAAGCUAAUGAUUCUGUGUAUUUCAAGUUUUUAUUUUAAUUGAUACUUAAUUAAUGGCUUUGGAAAUUAGUGAUGAAAAAAAAUAGUUUAUUUCGACAAAUAAUAAUGUUAUAUUUAUAAAUUGAAAUGAUUUUGGUAUAAAUUUUGAUAAAUUAAAUAUAUUAAACUCAAGUUAUUGUAAAGAAUGAUUUUGAUCUUUGAAAAUUUUAUGAAAUUAAAGGUAAAUUUUUUAUUUAUCGAGAUUUUUAGAAUACUUUUAUGAAUGUUAAGUGAAUUUUUUAUAAUGAUUUAAAUUACAUCAAAAUUGCCUGGAGAUGAUAUUUUAAACCCAACCCCUCCACUUCAUUGACUUAAUUCCCUGGUGAAAUAGACCCCAUCCCAGAUAUUUUAAUUCUUUGGGAACAAGGGAGCGAGAUUAGGGAUUGUAAAACCAGUUUCCCAAAGUUACUUUUUCCAUAAAAAUCAAAGUAAGAAUAAAGAUUGUUUAUUCCUCGGCAAUUUCUCUCUCUCAUUACUUUCUCGUUUCUGAAAUCUGUGCGUAAGAGAUCAUUAAGAAAUUAUAAAAGUGAAUGAUGGCUAUGUGAAUAAAAGAUUGUUCAUUGGAAGUUGUCUAUUUUUAAACGUACAUGAUGCUUACAGAAGCAAAAGGACUUCUUUUGCUUAAAUUUUGUCCAUUGAAGGAAAUCAGAUAAUACAACAAAUUAAAGUCAAGAAAAAAAAAGAAAAAAAAGGACAGCUUCUUGCAGCUCUGUUCCAUGGUUGAUGCCACCGGGAUGCCCCAGAACUCAGACCACAUAAAGUGACUUGAUUCAUUAUGGCUGCAUUGAUAUAAAUGUGUGUUAACCCAAAGAAAGCAUUUAUAGUUAUUCCAUCUCUGCAUAGGUGAAUGAAGUUCUAAUUCAAGGAAUCUUUAUUGAUAAUUCAAUAAAUUUCUUUGAGAUUCAAAAAUCAAAGCUUUUACUCUCUAUUAUGAUUUUUAUUUCGAUUCUAAUCUAUGUCGUAGUGGUUAAGUAUGAUCCUAGCAUAUUACAAGAAAUCAUUAAAAUUAGUAAUAUUUGUGAAAUUAUGUUAAUUAUAUUAUAUAAAGUGGAAUUAUAUUUACUUUUGUUAUCUAUAAAUAUAAUUUUGGAGAAAAUAUGUUUAUGAAUGAUAUUACCUAAAUUUUGUUUUGAUAUCUUUAUGAUUAUUGAUAAUUUUGACUUAAAUGUUGUGAAGUAUGUUGUUGGUUACUUGUUAAGUGGUUGUACUCAUUACUUUUAUUUACAAAUUUCAAUAUUUUUGCAUCAUUGGAGAACUAGAUUUGUUUGGCAAGAUUUUGAUUAACAAGAUUAGCAUAUGCCUAUUUAUUUUGUAUAAGCUUUGAUGUAAGUAUUCGGUUUUAGUUUGUAAAGAAAUGUUAACUAAACGGAUAUUCCAUCUCUGUACAGGUGAAUGAAGUUCUAAUUCAAGGAAAUUUAUUGAUAAUUCAACAAAUUUCCUUGAGAUUCAAAAAUCAAAGCUUUCACUCUCUAUUCUGAUUUUAUUCGAAACUACUUGAAUUAUAACGAGGUCAGAGCUACUUAACACAGGCUUUCAUACAACAAAAGAUGCAUUAAACAUAAAUAUAGUGAUAAGCGUUGUAACUGAAAAGACAAAUUACCAGCCAGUUGAGACUAUCUACCACCAUCGAUCCUCAGCUGGGAGAAAACUCCACUAGCUGUUGUGUCAGAACCAUCAUCCCUCACCAUAGGCACAUCAUCUUUCUCAAUUGGCAAGUUAUUUGAAGGCAAACGCUGAAAUGGACGUGAGGACAUGUUCAGAGAAGCAUCUAUUG